UACGAAGGGGGCGAGCGUUGUUCGGAAUUACUGGGCGUAAAGGGCGCGUAGGCGGCCCCUUUUGUCGCGUGUGAAAGCCCCGGGCUCAACCUGGGAACGGCGCGCGAAACGGGGGGGCUUGAAUCCGGGAGAGGGAUGCAGAAUUCCAGGUGUAGCGGUGAAAUGCGUAGAUAUCUGGAGGAAUACCGGUGGCGAAGGCGGCAUCCUGGACCGGCAUUGACGCUGAGGAGCGAAAGCCAGGGGAGCAAACGGG
RNAcentral lists this ribosomal RNA (253 nucleotides) under uncultured bacterium. RNAcentral's name for it is "partial 16S ribosomal RNA". It matches the Rfam family "Bacterial small subunit ribosomal RNA", at positions 524 to 776 of the family's 1533-position model. The record is from RNAcentral.